Molecule: long non-coding RNA, 216 nt
Filed under: Mytilus galloprovincialis (Mediterranean mussel)
Lineage: Eukaryota; Metazoa; Mollusca; Bivalvia; Mytilida; Mytilidae
Source: RNAcentral
UUUGUCUUCUGAAUCUGAAAUAUUUGUCCGGGAAAUCCUUGAUAUUCCAAGGUUAUUUGCGUUCCCAUUAUGUUGCGCAAAAUAUGUAGAGAAAGAAAACACCAAUAAAAGUAUCGAUUUUUUUUUUCAAAUCCAUUAAAAGUUAUCCUGUCCGAAUUUCGAAAUAUCUGUAUGAAUGAUAUCUUCGCAUUUUUUGUGCUUAGUCUUGUUCUUUUU